This is a small nuclear RNA of Onychomys torridus (southern grasshopper mouse), 104 nucleotides long. The record is from RefSeq and is a predicted model, not a curated record. NCBI's taxonomy places the organism in Eukaryota, Metazoa, Chordata, Mammalia, Rodentia, Cricetidae.
UUUUAAACAUAUUUGGCAACAAUAUACUAGAAUUGGAACUAUAAAGAGAAGAUUAGCAUGAACCCUGUGCAAGGAUGAUACACAAGGAUGAUAUGCAAAUUUGU